UACAGAGACUGCAAGCGUUAUUCGGAUUCACUGGGCGUAAAGGGUGCGCAGGCGGCCAAGUGUGUGAGGCGUGAAAGCCUGGAGCUUACUCCAGAAUUGCACCUCAAACUACUUGGCUAGAGCAUUGGAGAGGGUAGCAGAAUUCAUGUGUAGCAGUGAAAUGCGUAGAUAUCAUGAGGAAUACCAGAGGCGAAGGCGGCUACCUGGACAAUUGCUGACGCUCAGGCACGAAAGCGUGGGGAGCAAAAGGG
Molecule: ribosomal RNA, 251 nt
Filed under: uncultured bacterium
Lineage: Bacteria
Description: partial 16S ribosomal RNA
Rfam family: Bacterial small subunit ribosomal RNA
Source: RNAcentral